RNAcentral lists this ribosomal RNA (467 nucleotides) under uncultured bacterium. RNAcentral's name for it is "partial 16S ribosomal RNA". It matches the Rfam family "Bacterial small subunit ribosomal RNA", at positions 29 to 507 of the family's 1533-position model. The record is from RNAcentral.
ACGCACGCUGGCGGCGUGCUUAACCCAUGCAAGUCGCACGGAAAGGCCCUGCUUUUGUGGGGUGCUCGAGUGGCGAACGGGUGAGUAACACGUGAGUAACCUGCCCUUGACUUUGGGAUAACUUCAGGAAACUGGGGCUAAUACCGGAUAGGAGCUCCUGCUGCAUGGUGGGGGUUGGAAAGUUUCGGCGGUUGGGGAUGGACUCGCGGCUUAUCAGCUUGUUGGUGGGGUAGUGGCUUACCAAGGCUUUGACGGGUAGCCGGCCUGAGAGGGUGACCGGCCACAUUGGGACUGAGAUACGGCCCAGACUCCUACGGGAGGCAGCAGGGGGGAAUAUUGCACAAUGGGCGGAAGCCUGAUGCAGCAACGCCGCGUGCGGGAUGACGGCCUUCGGGUUGUAAACCGCUUUCGCCUGUGACGAAGCGUGAGUGACGGUAAUGGGUAAAGAAGCACCGGCUAACUACGUG